This 779-nucleotide ribosomal RNA is filed under the name uncultured Acidimicrobiales bacterium. RNAcentral describes it as "bacterial SSU rRNA". It matches the Rfam family "Bacterial small subunit ribosomal RNA", at positions 8 to 796 of the family's 1533-position model. Lineage: Bacteria; Bacillati; Actinomycetota; Acidimicrobiia; Acidimicrobiales. The record is from RNAcentral.
AGAGUUUGAUCCUGGCUCAGGACGAACGCUGGCGGCGUGCUUAAUACAUGCAAGUCGAACGAGGUCCAACCGGUGGCAACACCGGGGAAGACCUAGUGGCGAACGGGUGAGUAACACGUGAGGAACCUGUCCCGAAGACUGGGAUAACAGCGGGAAACCGCUGCUAAUACCGGAUGCCCCCAUCGGACCGCAUGAUCUGAUGAGGAAACGAAUUUUGCUUCGGGAGGGCCUCGCGGUCUAUCAGCUUGUUGGUGGGGUAACGGCCUACCAAGGCGACGACGGGUAGCUGGUCUGAGAGGACGAUCAGCCACACUGGGACUGAGACACGGCCCAGACUCCUACGGGAGGCAGCAGUGGGGAAUAUUGGACAAUGGGCGCAAGCCUGAUCCAGCCACGCCGCGUGCGGGAUGAAGGCCCUUGGGUUGUAAACCGCUUUCAGCAGGGACGAAAAUGACGGUACCUGCAGAAGAAGCCCCGGCCAACUACGUGCCAGCAGCCGCGGUAAGACGUAGGGGGCGAGCGUUGUCCGGAUUUAUUGGGCGUAAAGAGCUCGUAGGCGGCUCGGCAAGUCGGGUGUGAAACCUCCAGGCUCAACCUGGAGACGCCACCCGAUACUGCCAUGGCUAGAGUCCGGUAGGGGACCACGGAAUUCCUGGUGUAGCGGUGAAAUGCGCAGAUAUCAGGAGGAACACCAGUGGCGAAGGCGGUGGUCUGGGCCGGAACUGACGCUGAGGAGCGAAAGCGUGGGUAGCAAACAGGAUUAGAUACCCCAGUAGUCC